CAGUAGCCACGGUAAUACGGAGGGAGCUAGCGUUGUUCGGAAUUACUGGGCGUAAAGCGCGCGUAGGCGGUUACUCAAGUCAGAGGUGAAAGCCCGGGGCUCAACCCCGGAACUGCCGUUGAAACUAGGUGACUAGAAUCUUGGAGAGGUCAGUGGAAUUCCGAGUGUAGAGGUGAAAUUCGUAGAUAUUCGGAAGAACACCAGUGGCGAAGGCGACUGACUGGACAAGUAUUGACGCUGAGGUGCGAAAGCGUGGGGAGCAAACUGGAUUAGAUACCCGAGUAGUCCCUGUCUCUUAUAC
RNAcentral lists this ribosomal RNA (301 nucleotides) under uncultured bacterium. RNAcentral describes it as "partial 16S ribosomal RNA". It matches the Rfam family "Bacterial small subunit ribosomal RNA", at positions 509 to 807 of the family's 1533-position model. The record is from RNAcentral.